UGAGGAAUAUUGGUCAAUGGGCGCGAGCCUGAACCAGCCAAGUCGCGUGAGGGAGGACGGCCCUACGGGUUGUAAACCUCUUUUGCCGGGGAGCAACGGGCGCCACGUGUGGCGCCACUGAGAGUACCCGGAGAAAAAGCAUCGGCUAACUCCGUGCCAGCAGCCGCGGUAAUACUGAGGAUGCGAGCGUUAUCCGGAUUUAUUGGGUUUAAAGGGUGCGUAGGCGGAUCGUUAAGUCAGUGGUCAAAUUGAGGGGCUCAACCCCUUCCCGCCAUUGAAACUGGCGAUCUUGAGUGGAAGAGAAGUAUGCGGAAUGCGUGGUGUAGCGGUGAAAUGCAUAGAUAUCACGCAGAACCCCGAUUGCGAAGGCAGCAUGCCGGCUUCCUACUGACGCUGAAGCACGAAAGCGUGGGGAUCGAACA
Molecule: ribosomal RNA, 422 nt
Filed under: uncultured bacterium
Lineage: Bacteria
Description: bacterial SSU rRNA
Rfam family: Bacterial small subunit ribosomal RNA
Source: RNAcentral